This 23-nucleotide non-coding RNA is filed under the name Cricetulus griseus (Chinese hamster). Lineage: Eukaryota; Metazoa; Chordata; Mammalia; Rodentia; Cricetidae. The record is from RNAcentral.
AUGUUGGACGUUUCGUGGAACCC